This 427-nucleotide long non-coding RNA is filed under the name Monodelphis domestica (gray short-tailed opossum). RNAcentral describes it as "lncRNA (ENSMODG00000048000.1)". The record is from RNAcentral. Lineage: Eukaryota; Metazoa; Chordata; Mammalia; Didelphimorphia; Didelphidae.
GAAUUUGGGGAAAUUACCAUUUUUCUUUGGCUCCGAAUAAUGUGAAGAAAGGGAAACUGGACAGAAUUGAAAAUGAUAGAUAACCUCUGAAUAGCAUUAACAAAAUAUUUGAUAAUGCAUUGGAGACACGGAGAUGAAAUUGUAAAACAGAAGAAACUUACAUCAAACUGUGGGAUAUACCAUUUGAACAAAAACACAAAAAAUAUUUACUGCUAUGGAAUUGCAGAAGAAGAAUUCUUCACACAAGAAGAGAUGAAAAGAGACAGAAAGAUCUGAAGUACAAGGACAUGCGACAGAGAAUCACAUGGGAGUCUGGGUCAAGAUUCUGAAAAAAACAGACUUCUGAGAGAAGCUUUGGGAGGUAGCUGAGAUUUUCAUCUUUAUACAAGAUUUCUGGCCCUUUGUGAGAUACCAGCUUGAGAGGAGA